Molecule: long non-coding RNA, 1545 nt
Organism: Peromyscus eremicus (cactus mouse)
Lineage: Eukaryota; Metazoa; Chordata; Mammalia; Rodentia; Cricetidae
Exons: 5
Source: RefSeq, a predicted model, not a curated record
ACAGAGUCUCUCACUGGGACCUGGGGCUGCCAACUAGGCUAGGCUCUCCAUCCAAGAAAUCCAGGAACCCACUCGUCCCUGCCUCCCCAGAACUGAGAUUAUGAACCUUGUUUGGCCCCGGAUAACAGAAACUGCAGAACACAGACCCUUUAAUAAGAAAGAACCACCACACUGAGAAUCGAUGCCGUUGUCUUGCUCGGGAGUGCCUGCUACUACGUGUACACUCAACCCUAUACUGAACCCUCUACAGACACUACCUCAGGGAAUCCACCCCAGCAACCAUUUGAAUCAGGUAUUAGCUUCAUUUAUAGAUGGGGAAACCAAGUCACAGAAGUGCUAAUAAACUCGCCCAGGUUCAUCUAGCACAGCCUUUUACACCAAUGCCUAUCCUUAACCUUUCUGUGCUCUUCUAAUACCCUGCCUCCAUCUGUCUGGUUAUAGACAUCCUCAGGCAGUGGUGAGGGAUGCUAAUUACCCUGAAUCUACACACAGUCCUUCAAUCCUUAAACUUGGAAGGGGAAGAGCCCUCCUGGGAUGCUCAUGUCCCAGGGCAUCGAACGGUGUUUGCGGGGCCAGACAGCCACCACGAAGAGCAGGAACGAGCAGCAGGAAGCCCAGUGGAAGCUGCUCUCCCAGGGAAGCCAGGCCUGGGUGGAUUUGCUGGGACAUGACAUCCAGCAGGGCACAGACCACUCCCCAACUCAGGGCGGCCCAUCCAGCAGUGCACUGUUCAGACAGUUGUAGAGGUAAAUAUACUGCUCCUGCGGGUAGAUGUGGACAAGCUAUGUCACCUGCUUGCCCAAACCUGACAGAAAAAGUUUCCCAGGGCUCUCCUGACCCCUAGUCCAGCUAGAGAGGGCAUGGUGGUCCACAGAGCCACCUGGUGGAGACCUGAAUGGGGUUACCUAACUGUCAUCUGUAGCUGGGACAGACCCUUCCCGUCUUUGAUCCCUUCCAUGGUGAGCCCCUCCCUGUCCGCUUCUCACCAGCGUUGGGGUCAUGAGGUCACAGGCCUGCGACUGCUUCAGGGCCACAUUGAAGACGUCCACGGUGCACUCAGUCCCCGCUUGCUGGAGCAGCUGCUCCAGAGCCAAGAAGGUGCCCAGCUGAUUUGUGCCCUUGCUGUAAUUGACCUAGAGAGUUAGAUGUGGGACCUCUGGGAAUGGGGCAGCAUCUGGGGACACGUGGAUACCAAAUUUAGUUCUAAGGACUGGGAAAGAACGCUAGGUACUUAGUUAACCAGCUGGGUUAGAACCCUACCCAAUCCCUGGGGAUGGAGCAGAGAAGACAGGGGCCUUGGGAGACUACACUUUGACCCAUAACCCAGUUGACACGUGGCGUUUGUCCACAGCACCUGGAGUGGCUGAGCAGGGUCCCUGGCUUCUUGCUCUUGCCCCGAGAACAGCACUGGCCCACAGCAUCCAGGAAGGGCAGCAGGGUGGUAGCUGGGAGCUCGCACCCAGACUCCCAGCAUGGGAACUGUAAGCGUUGAACCUGCCUCUCUGUUCCACUCUCUCCCUGAAGCAAGAGCAAGAUCAACGUUGG